ACGAGGCGCGCCUCACCGCCCCAGCAGACGGCUCCUGGCCGCGGUCCGAGCAAUACGCUGCCCGUUGGAGCUCCCUGACUGCCGAAAAAAAAGUGGAACCGUUUUUAUUAAUACAUCAGCCCCAGCAUCAAGAACAAGAAGAAAUAAACUAAAAGAUUCACUACAAUCAACUUGCUAUUUCAGUAGAUGAUGGUGUCAUUAGUUCUGUAAAAGAUCACUAAUCUGCUCCCAAUUAACCCAGUUCUUUGGGUAGUCUGGCCAAAAUCAAACAGUCUACGGAAUGCCUAAGGAACACUCGGUGAACGCGGGAUGGAGCCCGAGGGCCAGCUUCAGUACCAAAGCCUGCCGUGUGAUGGACCCUGGGGAGACAACCUAUAUGGAGACAGGUUACCACCACCCUAGGGCUGGUCACUGUGCGGGCGGGCCUGCAGCGACAACGCCAGCCAAGGGGUCGACCCUGGGGAGUCGGCGUCUUGUGUAGAAGGGUUUCUACCUCCCCCACCCGUCAAGGAGGGGCUAGUCUCUGCGAGGACGGGCUACAGCGAUAUCGACGUCCACGAGGAUGACGUGGCGUACAUAUUAGAAAGGCGGUGCACAGCAACCCCCCUUCCCCCCUGCAGUAUGACCACCUCACAAGAACAUACGAUAGUUUGCUUUGCCUAUCCAUACUCCAGAUGGUGCUCCAUUGGUCCCAUCCCAGACGCUGCUACCUAGCAGCGUCAGCCUUGUAUGACCGAAUCUGUACCUAUGUUAUCCUACCACUCCCUAGCCUCUCCGUUCCCAUCUUGGCAUACAUACAACAUGUACUUCAGAAGGGCCGCUGCCGUCAAAAACCAUGUUACAGUAGCCAGCUAAUGCUUGCCCUUCAGGGUGGGGGCUCUGCGCGCGCCAGCUGACCCGACGGAACCCCCAAAGUCUUGUUAUUUAAUACUUGACUAAUGUUUACCUAUAUAUAAUUGUAAUUACUGUUGGUAAAUGCAUUAGUGUAAAUUAAAAUAAAGUAACAUUUAAUUACUAAUAAUUAUUUAA
Molecule: long non-coding RNA, 1029 nt
Organism: Procambarus clarkii (red swamp crayfish)
Lineage: Eukaryota; Metazoa; Arthropoda; Malacostraca; Decapoda; Cambaridae
Source: RefSeq, a predicted model, not a curated record